GGUGAGGUCAACCGAAAUCGGUAUCGGCCCCGGUUGCUAUCCGGGUUGGGGAAGUUAUAUCUCCAUAUGAGUUCGAUCCUCACCCUCACCGCCA
Molecule: transfer RNA, 94 nt
Filed under: Acidobacteriota bacterium
Lineage: Bacteria; Pseudomonadati; Acidobacteriota
Description: Acidobacteria bacterium (groundwater metagenome) tRNA-Ser
Source: RNAcentral